GCUGAUUUGCUGACGAGUGGCGGACGGGUGAGUAAUGUCUGGGAAACUGCCUGAUGGAGGGGGAUAACUACUGGAAACGGUAGCUAAUACCGCAUAACGUCGCAAGACCAAAGAGGGGGACCUUCGGGCCUCUUGCCAUCGGAUGUGCCCAGAUGGGAUUAGCUAGUAGGUGGGGUAACGGCUCACCUAGGCGACGAUCCCUAGCUGGUCUGAGAGGAUGACCAGCCACACUGGAACUGAGACACGGUCCAGACUCCUACGGGAGGCAGCAGUGGGGAAUAUUGCACAAUGGGCGCAAGCCUGAUGCAGCCAUGCCGCGUGUAUGAAGAAGGCCUUCGGGUUGUAAAGUACUUUCAGCGGGGAGGAAGGGAGUAAAGUUAAUACCUUUGCUCAUUGACGUUACCCGCAGAAGAAGCACCGGCUAACUCCGUGCCAGCAGCCGCGGUAAUACGGAGGGUGCAAGCGUUAAUCGGAAUUACUGGGCGUAAAGCGCACGCAGGCGGUUUGUUAAGUCAGAUGUGAAAUCCCCGGGCUCAACCUGGGAACUGCAUCUGAUACUGGCAAGCUUGAGUCUCGUAGAGGGGGGUAGAAUUCCAGGUGUAGCGGUGAAAUGCGUAGAGAUCUGGAGGAAUACCGGUGGCGAAGGCGGCCCCCUGGACGAAGACUGACGCUCAGGUGCGAAAGCGUGGGGAGCAAACAGGAUUAGAUACCCUGGUAGUCCACGCCGUAAACGAUGUCGACUUGGAGGUUGUGCCCUUGAGGCGUGGCUUCCGGAGCUAACGCGUUAAGUCGACCGCCUGGGGAGUACGGCCGCAAGGUUAAAACUCAAAUGAAUUGACGGGGGCCCGCACAAGCGGUGGAGCAUGUGGUUUAAUUCGAUGCAACGCGAAGAACCUUACCUGGUCUUGACAUCCACGGAAGUUUUCAGAGAUGAGAAUGUGCCUUCGGGAACCGUGAGACAGGUGCUGCAUGGCUGUCGUCAGCUCGUGUUGUGAAAUGUUGGGUUAAGUCCCGCAACGAGCGCAACCCUUAUCCUUUGUUGCCAGCGGUCCGGCCGGGAACUCAAAGGAGACUGCCAGUGAUAAACUGGAGGAAGGUGGGGAUGACGUCAAGUCAUCAUGGCCC
RNAcentral lists this ribosomal RNA (1125 nucleotides) under Escherichia coli. RNAcentral's name for it is "bacterial SSU rRNA". It matches the Rfam family "Bacterial small subunit ribosomal RNA", at positions 79 to 1201 of the family's 1533-position model. The record is from RNAcentral. Lineage: Bacteria; Pseudomonadati; Pseudomonadota; Gammaproteobacteria; Enterobacterales; Enterobacteriaceae.